This is a non-coding RNA of Pelobates cultripes (western spadefoot toad), 210 nucleotides long. NCBI's taxonomy places the organism in Eukaryota, Metazoa, Chordata, Amphibia, Anura, Pelobatidae. The record is from the annotation of a GenBank genome assembly.
ACAGGGAGCCACGUGGCAUGCAGCCUGCACCAUCCCCUGUUCCUCCCGCUGCCCCUGGUGGCCGGGCAGCGGCCUCGCAGGCAGGCCACUCACUCCCUGGGUCCAGUGGCAGGAUGUCGUCCCGUUCCUCUUCUCUCCCCUUUCCGUCACCUGGGGGGUCUGUGAGCCGGGUGUCUCUCCCUCUGCCGUCGGGUGGGGGAUGUCUUCCAC